Apodemus sylvaticus (European woodmouse) is the source of this 74-nucleotide small nucleolar RNA. RefSeq annotates it as small nucleolar RNA SNORD113/SNORD114 family. NCBI's taxonomy places the organism in Eukaryota, Metazoa, Chordata, Mammalia, Rodentia, Muridae. The record is from RefSeq and is a predicted model, not a curated record. The transcript has a single exon.
UGGAUCAAUGAUGACUUUACUGCGAGUAUUUGAGUCAUGGAUUAUGACGACAAACACAAGAGUCUGAGGUCAAC